Molecule: non-coding RNA, 73 nt
Organism: Myotis brandtii (Brandt's bat)
Lineage: Eukaryota; Metazoa; Chordata; Mammalia; Chiroptera; Vespertilionidae
Source: Rfam
GCCGGUGUGGCUCAGUGGGUAAAGUGUCAGCCUGUGGACCGAAGAGUCCCAGGUUCAAUUCCGGGCAAGGGCA